GCAGACAAAAGCAACAGGUUUUAGAAGAAGGAAAAAAUCACUAACAAAUAUAUAUCUGCCAAAUUGAAAGGGAUUAGGGGAAGGGGAACGCAGACAAAGGCAACAGGUUUUAGAAUAAGAAGAAAAAUCCCUAGAAGAAAAGGAAGAAGCACCAGACUGGAAAAAAACAAAAGAAGGAAAAUUUUCUUCCUCUUUUAAGACAAUAAAAUUUUAUAUACAUAAUUCUGAUAAGGAUGAGUAUAUAUCAUUUUGGAAUUGGAUUAAGAAUUUGAAAGAUGAAGGUAAGGAAAUUUGGAGAAAUUCAUGAGACUUUUCAUGAAUUAAGCAGGUAUAUUAUAUUAAUAGGUUGGAGUUGAUAGAGUAAUAAAUACUCAUUCCGUGAGUAAAUAUAAUUCUGCGAAUUAAGAUUCAACUAUGGAACCUCGAAGGUUGGGUAUUCUGAAUUAUCUAUGAAUUAGCCUAAAUAUAGAAAUUAACAUAAGACCGAUAUUAUGUAAUUAUGGAUUGAAUUUGGAGGAAGUUGUACAAAUUGCUCGAAGUGAAGCAUUUGAAAUUUCGGCAUGAGUACUGUGAGUAGUAAUCUUAGCACAAUUUGUGUUUUCAUAACCUGCAUGGUUUAUAUAUGAUUUUGAAAAUAAACGUAUUACUGAUGCUUUAAAAUUUACAUGUGGGGCAAGUCCUUUACUUGAUAUUGUACCGAACAGCUUACUUAAGAUGUUUUACCAAUUAAUCUAAACGUUUUACCAUUACUAGAUAUGUUUUACCAUUACAUGAGAUGUUACUGUUAUUUGAAAUAUUCUCACUUUUACUAGACAUGUUUUACUGUUACUUGAGACAUGAUUACCGUUACUGAAAUAAAAUUACAAGAUUUGAUAAGAAAUAAUAUGCCCUAUGAGUAUUUAGUAUUUACAAGAAAGAGUAUAAAUGGGAAGAGACAUUGAAGGAUCCCGUAGCUAAAGGCAGGUUCGUUAGACCUGGUGCACCUUGUAUUACAUAUUAUCGAUUACCUAUUACCGAUUACAAUUAUAGCCCUCACUAGUGGGAAAGUAGAACUAGCAUACAGUUAGAGUUUUCCCUCGAGUAAGGACCUACAGUUAUACUUGACUCUUUUUAUGAAGGGGUCCACACAGUGAUACAGAUUACAUGAUCUUUUUCUGGAAAUCUCCCAAAUAUAAAGAUUUUCUAUGACACAGUAUUUACAGAGUUUAUUACUGAAUUGUUAAAUUGAUUUUGUUACAAGAAACACAUGAUUAGACUGAUUAUUAUUACUAUUUUAAAAAAGGCAUUUUAUCUUGUGAUUAGUAUGCAAGUAUGUUUUCUUAUUUGUCCCCAAAUAAAAAUGGUUGUGUUUAAGUAUUAUUUCUCACUGAGCUAGCGACUCAUACCCUGCUAAUUUGUUUCAGAGCCAGCAGUUAACGCAAGCGAGGAUUUCGUUAAUUAGAGUGCACAGGUUGAAAAUUCUUGGUGAGCCUCGCACUUGUUCGCGUGGGCGGAGAUUUUUAUCAAUUGUUAUGGUCAUUUCAUUAAACUCUUAGAUUCGCUCCAUAGUCAAUAUUUUAGUGUCAUGGGUAUUCUUUUGUUAUUAUAUUCUUAUGUUGAGUAGCGUCUUUUAUUAUGAAAGUUGAGCUAGAUUAGUAUUUCUGGUUGUUAGUAUGUUCAAUUAGUAAGGGUGGAGACUUAUUUUGGCGAAUUGGUAAGUUGUCAAUUGCUUUUUGAAUUGAAAUUAGGUUGUUUGGCUGCUGAUUUGAGACAUGAAAUUCUUGGGAUGGUCCAAAAACUAGGGAAACUCUGCCCGAUUUUUUGUGAAAUAUCAAUGAGGGUUACUUGGGAGCAUUUUCUCCUAAGCGACAAUCCUAAAUUGGGUCGUGACAAAGUUAGUAUCCGAGCCCUAGGUUACUCUUAUGACUAAUGGAGCACACGUCAGUAGUAGAAUCUCAAUUAUGGUUAUGUAGACGGCCAUUCCCAUAAUCGUGAUUCUGUGAGGGCGUGAAAGGAUGUAUCUUGCCUUUCUUUCUUAUUCCUCCGUACGUGUGUGGCGAUUAGGACCAAAUAACUGAAUCUAUCAUUACUGAUCCUAUUUUUACCUGGCUCGGACCAAUUAUUCUAUAAUAGAAUUUAGCUAGAGCUUCAAACUUCAAAGACGUCAAAUUUUACCGAUGGACAUGUAGCUAUAUCUCAUAGAAAUGCUACAUAAGUGGUAUACAAGACCAGUGAAACGUUCAUUAUGGUAUAUGAUGUGCUUUUCGGUAAGAUGCAUAAUAGAGUGCAUUUUAAAAAUUUAUACUAGUACACCACUACACCGAUAGAGGAGAGUUCUCAUAAAAAAAUAAAGGUACUUAACUCCAUGAAAAUAAAUUAAGAUAUUUAUGGAUAUACUACAUAGACUUGAGAAUAAUGAGCAACAUAAUAGUGCUCUAGAGUCAUCAUGCACGUAGAAGAUUGUAGGGAACAUAAAAGUAUCCUUAAUAAAGUUGUCGAAGUUAAAACUACUAAGUGUAUUGCUUCUAAUAGUUCAUAUGAUCCUUAAGGGUUUUUGAUAAAAUAUUUACCACAUUAUGAGCUAUAGGAUAUUUUAUGGAACGAACAACUUAUAGACUAGAGAACAUGGUGAAUACAUGAAAUGAUAUGGUACUAUUUGGGAUGCCAACAACAGCAACACAACUAAUUUAAUGACGAUUUCACUAAAGUAUUUAUGAAUUAAUUCUUUCUUGACAGUUUGUAAUGUGAGCUCACUUGCUAGAUAGUUUAAGUAAUUAAUUUAGACGAUGAUGUACCAACACAAGUCAUUCUCAGCUUGACAUGCAACAUCUCAAGUUUAGAUGUUGGUGAAGAAUGGCUAACCUUCUAAACGAGAAGUUCACCCAACACUUUAUGAAUCUAAUAUAUUAUGUGGCGGUUGUAGUUGGCCAAAUAAAUAAAGAGAUUGAAAAUAUGGACACGAUAGGCGUUCAAGAACUCAUAUAAGAAUAUCGAGAUUAGAAUAUUUUUUAGUAUGGAUUUUAGUAGGAGUCAAAGAUCCAAAAAUCAAAAAUAUUUUGAGAUAUUAAGCGAUCCUUUACGGGUUGCGACAUCUGUGAAAAAUUUAUAGUAGUUAGACAUGUGGUUAAAACUAUUAAGAUUUAAGUUAAGAGAAGGAAACCCUAGCUAACCAAGCUGUACUUGAUAUAGUUGACUCUAACAUACAGAUGGAUAUGGAUUAAUUAUCUUCUUACCAUGCUACCCUCGAUUACAAUGGAAAGACUAUUAGGUUUGUUGAACUUUAAAAGAUGGUUUUAUCCAAAAAGAGGAUUAUAAAUUUUAGCGACGAGCAAAUUAUAUGUUUUGAAGGCUACAGUUAUAGAAGGAAGGUUGUUUGUAUCUCAUAGAUACUGUAAAGGGCACAAGAGAAGAAACACUUAGCUUGAGGAAAAAAAGGGUAUCAUAAUGAGAGAUUAUCUAAUGUAUUCCUAGGGAUUUACUAGGACUACCUCCAAUAUGUGAAAUAGACUUCGUUAUUGAGCUAGUACCUGAUACGCAAACUAUAUCAUAUGGCACCUACAAAGUUGAAAGAGCUAAUUGAAUAAUUAAGAGACCUACUUGAUACAGGUUUUAUCAUACCGAACGUUGUACUAUGGGGUACACCAAUAUUGUUUGGAAAGAAAAAGGGGAUAAGUCCUUAAGAAUGUGGAUCAACUAUAGAUAAUUAUUUAAGAUAGCAAUACACAAUAAAUACCCAUUGUCUUGUAAAGAAAAAUUAUUUAAUUAGUUACAAGGGGCCAUUGAUCAUUAGUUUGGCUGUCAUCAACUUAGAAUACGAAAGGAAGAUGUUUCGACAUUGCCUUUAGUACUCAGUACAAACAUUAUGAGUUACUUAUGAAGUCCUUUUGAUUGGCCAAUGCUCCAUCUACAUUGAUAUGUAUAAUGGAUAUGGUAUUUAAUGUUGUUUCUGGAAAAAAAAAUUUUACUUACUAUAUUCUGGUAUAUUCUCAUAUCCAGGAAGAGUACGAGAGUCACUUGAAAAAUAUGUUAAAGACACUGCGGGAAAAUAUCUUUUUACCAAGUUCUUCAAUUGUGAAUUUUAGCUAGACUCAGUGGUAUUCAUAGGACACAUGUUAUCUAAGAAUUAAAAGACGGUAGAUUCUGAGAAGAUAAACACAGUUCAUAAAUGACUAUGACAUGUUUGUCCUACUGAAGUUGAUUUUUUUGGCUUGACAGGCUACUAUAUAUAGGCAAUUGUGUAAAAUUUCUCUAGAACACUACUACUCACCAAGUGAAAAAAAAAUCACUAAAUUUCAAUGGAUUGAGGAUGUACAAUGAGAUUCGAGAAUCCCAAGGCAUGUUUGACAAUCACACCAAUGUUAGCCUUAUUUCAAUAGACUUUAGAGGAUUCAUGAUGUUUGUGAUACAUUGAAGGUAGGAUUAAGAUAUUUUCUCAUGCAAAUAGUUGUGUGAUAAGCCUAUGCUCUAAGGAAAUUGAAGAAGCCAAGUCGUAUUAUGCCAUUCAUGAUUUGGAGAUGGUCUUAUUAGUAUUUCCUUUUAAGAUUUAGAGACGCUAUUUAUAUGAAGAAACCUAUGAGAUUUAUACCUAGAACAAUAGCCUAUAGUACAUAAAGUACAUUUAAAAUCAACAGAGAUAUAAAUAUUUAGCAAUGCUGAUAGAGGAAACUAUUGAAGAUAUAAUUAUAUUGUUUUGUAUUAUUCGGGAAAGAUAAAUAUUAUAGCUUAUGCCAAAAAAGAAUAUGGGUGAUUUUGCGCAUUUAGCUCCUAUAGAGAUACUUCUGGACGAAGAUAUUCAUAGACUAGAGGGUACACGUAUUAGAUUCGAUGUGAAAAAAAAUUAAAGAUAUUAUGGGCUAUUGGUCAAGCCCGAUGUAGAGUGUAUAAAGGCUAGCCAAUAACAAGAUGAACGAUUGUUUAAUUUUCGAGAUUAGUUUCUAGCUGGUAAAAGCAAGGAUAUGACUGUUAGUAAUAAGGACAUUCUACGACUAGGUUAGUAAUGUGUAGCAAACAUAUAUGGGUUGAGAAAAGUUAUUUUUGAUAGGGAUUACAAGAUACAAUGUAUAUCUCAGGUCUAUUAGAUGCACCAUGACUUUUAUAUAUAUAUUGGUUGGAAAAGAAAGAAAAAAAAACGUUAACUUUGUUUCUAACUAUUUGACAUGUCAGUAUGUCAAGACAAGCACUUGCAACUCACAGGCCCACAAAAACAAAAACAAUUCAAGAUUCUGAAGUGGAAAUUCAAUAGAACAAUACAUUAUAUGACUAAAUUACUCAAACCGUUAGAGGUAUGAUUAUAUGUGAUUAAGUUGUAAACAUACCAAGUAGGCACGUUUAUUGCUAGUCAAACCUCUUAUAGUGAGGUAAAAUAUGCAUAGAAUACAUGAACAUAAAAUUAUCUGACCUAAUAGAGCUCUAUUGUCCAAUCAGCUCUAAUGGAGGAUCACAUUUACUUCACGAUUUGAAAACCUUUUCAAGAAAUAUUGGGUAUACGAGUAGAUCUUAGUACUAGUUUUAUCGCAUGCAAACGCAAAGUCCAAAUGUGUUAUACAGAUCUUGGACGAUAUGUUGAGAGAUUGUGUUCUUGAGUUUAAAUAUAGUUGGGACGCUUAUCUACUUUAGCUGAAUUUGCUUAUAACAACAGCUUCAAGUCUAGAUGGGAAUCAUAUGAAUCAUUAUAUGGUAGAAGAUGUUAUUCUAUCAAAGGGUUUGAAGCUGAUGAGACUCAUUUAUUGGGACCCGACUUAGUACCAGAAGCUAUUGACGAGGUCCAAUUGAUUGGAUCGUGAUUUCUCACAAUUUAAAGCAGACAAAAAUCUAAUGAAAACAAUAGAAAAAGAGACUUAAUGUUCACAAUUGAAGAUAGAGUGUUCAUACAGGUAUCUCCUAUGAAGGGCGUGAUGCAAUUAACAAAAAGAGAUAAGUGGAGCCCGGAGUUUACAGGUUAGUAUGAAUUACUUGACCGAAUUGGAGCUAUGGCAUAUCAUUUGGAACUUACUCCUUAGUUAUCUUUUAUUCAUCCAAUGUUUCUUGUCUCCAUGCUAAAAAAAGGUAUAUCAGACUCCUCUCAAGUGCUUGAAGCACCUACUAUACCACUCGAUGAAACAUUAUCUUAUGAGGAAGAGACUAUUGCUAUUAUCGAUAAUCAAGUGAGGAAGUUGCAGUCAAAAGAAAUUGUGGUUGUUGAAGUCUUGUGGAUAAAUCAUACAUUGAAGAAGCUACUUAGGAAGUGAAAGAUCAUAUAUGAGUCAAGUGACCCAAUUUAUUUCAGUCUACAGGUACGUACUUGAGUUAAAUUCAGAGAUCUAAUUUCAUAAGGGGAAAAAAGUAAUGCCCUAUAUUUUUUUAUAAGAAUAUAUUGGUCAUUAGCACAAUAAUAUUAAGAAGAAGAAACUAAUUGCAAUAAGAAUAAAAAGAUAACAAACUACAAUGAAACUAAAUAAACAAAAGAAAAAAAAAAGAAAAAGAAGAAAGAAUACAAAUGGGCUUAGCCCAUUAACGUGACACAAGUCACUAGGGUAGGAAAAAGGGAAAAAACAAAAUAAAACAAAUAUAUAUCUGCCAAAUUGAAAGGGAUUAGGGGAAGGGGAACGCAGACAAAAGCAACAGGUUUUAGAAGAAGGAAAAAAUCACUAGAAGAAAAGGAAGAAGCACCAGACUGGAAAAAAAACAAAAGAAGGAGAAUCUCGAGUGUUUCUUUAGCGCCGGAGAUUGUUGGCAUACAAUUCCUUGGAUUUCACCAAUACACUCCAGGUAGUUAUAUGUAUUUCUUCCUCUUUUAAGACAAUGAAAUUUUAUAUAAAUAAUUCUGAUAAGGCUGAGUAUAUAUCAUUUUGGAAUUGGAUUAAGAAUUUGAAAGAUGAAGGUAAGGAAAUUUGGAAAAACUCAUGAGACUUUUCAUGAAUUAAGCAGGUAUAUUAUGUUAAUAGGUUGGAGUUGAUAGAUUAAUAAUUACUCAUUCCGUGGGUAAACAUAAUUCGGCGAAUUAAGAUUCAAAUAUGGAACCUCGAAGGUUGGGUAUUCUAAAUUAGCUAUGAAUUAGCCUAAAUAUAGAAAUUAACAUGUGACCGAUAUUAUGUAAUUAUAGAUUGAACUGGAGGAAGUUGUACAAAUUGCUCAAGGUGAAGCAUUUGAAAUUUCGUCACGAGUACUGUGAGUAGUAAUCUCACCACAAUUUGUGUUUUUAUAACCUGCAUGGUUUAUAUAUGAUUUUGAAAAUAAACAUAUUACUGAUGCUUUAAAUUUGCAUCUGGGACAAGUCCUUUACUUGAUAUGGUACCGAACAGUUUACUUGAGAUAUUUACAAAUUAAUCUGAACGUUAUUACCAUUAGUAGAUGUGUUUUACCAUUACAUGAGAUGUUACAGUUAUUUGAUUUAUUCUCACUGUUACUAGACAUGUUUUACUGUUACUUGAGACAUGAUUACCGUUACCGAAAUAAAAUUACAAGAUUUGAUAAGAAACUAUAUGCCCUUUAUUAUUUUGAAUAUGCUUUUGUAUGAAUAUUUACUAUUUACGAAAAAGAGUAUAAAUGGUAGGAGACUUUGAAGGAUCCCGUAGCUUACGCCGGGUUCGUUAGAACUGGUGCACCUUGUAUUAGAUAUUAUCGAUUACCGAUUACCGAUUAUAGUUACUAUCCUCGCUAGUGGGAAGGUAGAACUAGCAUACAGUUACAGUUUUUCCUCUAGUAGGGACCUACAGUUAUACUUGACUCAUUUUAUGAAGGGGUCCAUAUGGUGAUACAGAUUACAUGAUCCUUUUUUGGAAAUCUCCAAAAUAUAAAGAUUUUCUAUGACACAGUAUUUACCGAGUUUAUUACUGAAUUGUUAAAUUGAUUUUGUUACAAGAAACACAUGAUGAGACUGAUUAUUAUUACUGUUGUAAAAAGGGCAUUUUAUUUUGUGAUUAUUAUGCAAGCAUGUUUUCUUAUUUGUCCACAAAUAAAAACGGUUGUGGUUAAGUAUUAUUACUCACUGAGCUAGCGACUCAUUCACCGCUAAUUUUUUUCAGAGACAGUAGUUGACGCAAGCGAGGAUUUCGUUAAUUAUAGUGCAUAGGUUGAAAAUUCUUGGUGAGCCUCGCACUUGUUCGCGUGGGCGGAGAUUUUUAUCAAUUGUUAUGGUCGUUUUAUUAAACUCUUAGAGUCGCUCCAUAGUCAAUAUUUUAGUGUCAUGGUUAUUCUUUUGUUAUUGUAGUCUUAUAUUGAGUAUCGUCCUUUAUUAUGAAAGUUGGAGGUAGAUUAGUAUUUCUGGUUGUUAGUAUGUUCAAAUAGUAAUGGUGGAGACUUAUUUUGGCUAAUUGAUAUGUUGUCAAUUGCAGUUGAAUUGCUAUUAGGUUGUUUGGCAAAAACAGGGGAAACUCUGCCCGAUUUUUUAUAAAAUACCGAUGAGACUUACUUGGGAGCAUUUGCUCCUAAGCGCCGUUCAUAAUCCUAAACUGGGUCGUGACAGGUUCAUUGUGUUAGGUCUUAAACAUCUAAAAGAUAAAGGAAAAUGGUGUAAUAAAUUGUAACAUUGACUUGCCUAGCGAGUUCAAUGUUAGGCGCCAUCACGGCUCGAGAUGGAAAAAUUCUUAUCGUGACACUUGCUCCCUUAAUAGUUUGCCC
Molecule: long non-coding RNA, 8577 nt
Filed under: Nicotiana benthamiana
Lineage: Eukaryota; Viridiplantae; Streptophyta; Magnoliopsida; Solanales; Solanaceae
Description: long non-coding RNA (NBEN_LNC018394)
Source: RNAcentral